Molecule: long non-coding RNA, 364 nt
Filed under: Capsella rubella
Lineage: Eukaryota; Viridiplantae; Streptophyta; Magnoliopsida; Brassicales; Brassicaceae
Description: long non-coding RNA (CRUB_LNC003476)
Source: RNAcentral
AUAAAUUAAAAACCAUUCAUUGUAUAUUUAAUCGGUUGUCGUUUCUUCUCUUAAUUAAUUAGGCCACUCCAAUACUAUAGUAUCACUUUUAAGAUGUUAUAAUUUCUUUGCUUCUAAAGCAUUGCAAAGACACAUGGAAUCAACUAAUAAUUUCACAGCUAUAUUGUUCUAUCUACAUCGAUUUGUUGCCGGUUUUAACUAUACACAUCCAUCUCAUUUUCAUUAUUCAUAAAUUAAAAAAAAAAACUUACAUCAUAUUUUCUCUUCCAUCGACCACAUUAGAAAAGAAAAAAAAAACGAACAAAUGUUUAUCUAAAUUUGGAGAUCCAUCUCCCUCUGACCUCUACCAAUAGCUAAGAUUCAC